This 591-nucleotide ribosomal RNA is filed under the name Bacillus sp. (in: firmicutes). RNAcentral's name for it is "bacterial SSU rRNA". It matches the Rfam family "Bacterial small subunit ribosomal RNA", at positions 337 to 918 of the family's 1533-position model. Lineage: Bacteria; Bacillati; Bacillota; Bacilli; Caryophanales; Bacillaceae. The record is from RNAcentral.
UCCUACGGGAGGCAGCAGUAGGGAAUCUUCCGCAAUGGACGAAAGUCUGACGGAGCAACGCCGCGUGAGUGAUGAAGGCUUUCGGGUCGUAAAACUCUGUUGUUAGGGAAGAACAAGUGCUAGUUGAAUAAGCUGGCACCUUGACGGUACCUAACCAGAAAGCCACGGCUAACUACGUGCCAGCAGCCGCGGUAAUACGUAGGUGGCAAGCGUUAUCCGGAAUUAUUGGGCGUAAAGCGCGCGCAGGUGGUUUCUUAAGUCUGAUGUGAAAGCCCACGGCUCAACCGUGGAGGGUCAUUGGAAACUGGGAGACUUGAGUGCAGAAGAGGAAAGUGGAAUUCCAUGUGUAGCGGUGAAAUGCGUAGAGAUAUGGAGGAACACCAGUGGCGAAGGCGACUUUCUGGUCUGUAACUGACACUGAGGCGCGAAAGCGUGGGGAGCAAACAGGAUUAGAUACCCUGGUAGUCCACGCCGUAAACGAUGAGUGCUAAGUGUUAGAGGGUUUCCGCCCUUUAGUGCUGAAGUUAACGCAUUAAGCACUCCGCCUGGGGAGUACGGCCGCAAGGCUGAAACUCAAAUGAAUUGACGGAG